GUAGGGAAUAUUGCGCAAUGGGGGAAACCCUGACGCAGCGACGCCGCGUGAGUGAUGAAGGCCUUCGGGUCGUAAAGCUCUGUUGCAGGGGAAUAAAAAAAUGAAGGUACCCUGUGAGGAAGGAUCGGCUAACUUCGUGCCAGCAGCCGCGGUAAGACGAGGGAUCCUAGCGUUGCUCGGAAUCAUUGGGCGUAAAGAGGGCGUAGGUGGCUUGGUAAGUCAGGUGUGAAAGCCCAGGGCUCAACCCUGGAAGUGCAUUUGAUACGGCUGAGCUUGAGUGUCGGAGAGGUUACCGGAAUACCUGGUGUAGUGGUGAAAUACGUAGAUAUCAGGUGGAAUACCGGAGGCGAAGGCGGGUAACUGGACGAACACUGACACUGAGGCCCUAAAGCGUGGGGAUCAAACAGGAUUAGAAACCCUUGUAGUCC
RNAcentral lists this ribosomal RNA (428 nucleotides) under uncultured bacterium. RNAcentral describes it as "partial 16S ribosomal RNA". It matches the Rfam family "Bacterial small subunit ribosomal RNA", at positions 354 to 796 of the family's 1533-position model. The record is from RNAcentral.